AUACGUAGGGUGCAAGCGUUAAUCGGAAUUACUGGGCGUAAAGCGUGCGCAGGCGGUUUUGUAAGACAGAGGUGAAAUCCCCGGGCUCAACCUGGGAACCGCCUUUGUGACUGCAAGGCUAGAGUACGGCAGAGGGGGAUGGAAUUCCGCGUGUAGCAGUGAAAUGCGUAGAUCUGCGGAGGAACACCGAUGGCGAAGGCAAUCCCCUGUGCCUGUACGAACGCUAAUGCACGAAAGCGUGGGGAGCAAACAGGAUUAGAUACCCUGGUAGUCCGCGCACUCAACGAUGUCAACUGGUUGUUGGGGAUUUAUUUUCUGAGUAACGAAGCUAACGCGUGAAGUUUUCCGCCUGGGGAGUACGGCCGCAAGGUGAAAACUCAAAUGAAUUGACGGGG
Molecule: ribosomal RNA, 395 nt
Filed under: uncultured bacterium
Lineage: Bacteria
Description: partial 16S ribosomal RNA
Rfam family: Bacterial small subunit ribosomal RNA
Source: RNAcentral